Long non-coding RNA from Homo sapiens (human), 2112 nucleotides. RefSeq lists it as uncharacterized. NCBI's taxonomy places the organism in Eukaryota, Metazoa, Chordata, Mammalia, Primates, Hominidae. The transcript has 6 exons. The record is from RefSeq and is a predicted model, not a curated record.
GCCCAGGAGCCCGUAGCCGAGGCCUGCUGCCAGGAUCUGGGUGGUCAUGGCCACCCAGGUGACCACGCCGCUGUACUGCAGACUUAUAAAAGAAGUAGAACACACAUGCUUCCCAUUAGGUGAGAAAGAAACAUGCCUGAGAGUCUAAUGGAUUACUCAAGUCUGUGCUGCCAAGGAAGAACAGAAUCUUUAGGUCUUCUGUGCAAAGUUGUGUCCACCCCCAAAGUCUGAAGUGGCUCCAUUCACAAACUUACAUGGAAUUUGGACUUGGCCAUCUUUCCUUUCAAGAAUAUAUGAUAAAAUCAUGCUUCCCGUUCAAGAGGUUCACUCUGGGUAUAGACGGCAUUUCUGAAAACAUGGCAUUGACUGACAUUAUUGACAGUGGACUGGGAAUGGAAAGAUCAGAGUUCUUUGCAUGGCUGAGCAUCUUACUUUUCCUUGAUCUUGGGAAGGAAGGCGCCUUCUCUGAUGGAGAUUAUCUGUCAGUGAAACUAGAUUUUUAAGUUGCAGCCCUGGGCUUAUGGUGAAUUGGCAAGCACGUGUGAGAAAGAUCAUGUUGUCUUAAGCAACUUUGAUUCCAAGAGAAGAAGAGUAAUAUGAGUACUCCAGUCCAGUCACCUGAUGAGAGAUUCCUGAAGGGAGAACUUGCAUCUUCAAAGCGUUGGAGGUAGAAGGAAGACAGGCAGAAGGACAUCCCAGAAUCAACCCAGAAUGUGGUGGAAGUGACUGCAUCAACCCUGAGCCGACACACCCAGAAGCCUUGCAGACUUCUACUUCCUGCCUUGGAAUCCUGACAAGCCACUACUUAAGCAAAUGUGAGCUACCCUUUUAGUGGUGGUUACAUGGGAUUAGAUGAGAUACAUGGGGCCCGGAUUCCUGAUUGCCCCACUUGACAGCUGAGAAACACCUGGGAGCAGGGCUGCCCAGCUAACAUCUGCUGACUGCAGAUGAAUGAACAAGCCCAGCCAGAUAGAGAAGAAACAGUCAGCUGGGCCAUAAACAAUGUUUUGUAAUAAUCGUUUAUUUAUAUGGUUUACAUUUUGUUUAACUCUCAUUUUUUAAUGGGAAUAGGACUUUUUUAUUGUGGUAAAAUGUACAUAAUGAAAAUUUACCAUUUUAACUAUUUUAGCUGUACAAUUCAGUGGCAUUCAAUGUUGUGCAAUGCUCACAACUACUUCCAACUUUUUUCAUUAUUCCAAACAGAAACUCUAUGCCAUUAAGCAAUAACUUUUGAUUCUUCCCAUCCCCAGCUCUUGGUAAUCUCGAUUCUACUUUCUGCCUAUAUGAAUUUGCCUAUUUUAGACACCCCACAUAAGUAGAAUCAUACAAUAUUUGUUCUUUUGUAUUUGACUUACUUUACUUGGCAUAUUUUCAAGGUUCAUCAUGUUGUAUUAUGUAUUAGACUUUUAUUUCUACUUAUGGCCGAAUAUCAUCCUGUGGUAGAUAGAUAGAUAUAAAAUAUGGUAAAUAUAUGUAUAUAUAUUAUUUAUCUCUUCAUUUGUUAAUGGACACUUGAGUUGUUUCUACCUUUUGACUACUGUGAAUAACACUGCUAUGAACACUGGUAUAGAACUACCUGAGUGAGUGUCUGCUCAAUUACUCUGGGUAUAUACCUAGACGUUGAAUUGCUGGGUCAAAUAGUUAUUCUAUGUUGAACAUUUUGAAGAUUGCCAAAAUUUUCCAGAGUGACUGCAUCAUUUUAUAUUCUCACCAGCAGUUCACAAAGAUAACAUUUUCUCCACAUCCUUGCCAACACUUGUAAUUUUCUAUUUGUUUGAUAAUAGUCAUGCUAGUGAGUGUGAAGUGGUGAUAUCUCACUGUGGCUUUGAUUUGCAUUUUCCCAAUGACUAAUGAUGUUGAACAUUUUCUUUUUCAUGUGGUUAUUGAUCAUUUGUAUAUCUUCUUUGGAAAAACUGUCUAUUCAAGUCUUUUGCUCACUUUUUGAGUCAUUUCUUUUGUUAUUGAGUCAUAGGAGUUCCUUACAUAUUCUGGAUAUGAAUUUCUUUUCAGAUAUAUGUUUUAAAAAUAUUUUCUGUCAUUUUGUUGGUUUUCUUGAUAGUGUUCUAUCAUUACCAAGUGUCAAUGCUAAUUAAAAAAAAAUUUGAUGAAGUC